GACGAACGCUGGCGGCGUGCUUAACACAUGCAAGUCGAACGGAAAGGCCCUGCUUUUGUGGGGUGCUCGAGUGGCGAACGGGUGAGUAACACGUGAGUAACCUGCCCUUGACUUUGUGAUAACUUCAGGAAACUGGGGCUAAUACCGGAUAGGAUCUCCUGCUGCAUGGUGUGGGUUGGAGAGUUUCGGCGGUUGGGGCAGGACUCGCGGCUUAUCCGCUUGUUGGUGGGGUAGUGGCUUACCAAGGCUUUGACGGGUAGCCGGCCUGAGAGGGUGACCGGCCACAUUGGGACUGAGAUACGGCCCAGAAUCCUACGGGAGGCAGCAGUGGAGAAUAUUGCACAAUGGGCGGAAGCCUGAUGCAGCAACGCCGCGUGCGGGAUGACGGCCUUCGGGUUGUAAACCGCUUUCGACUGUGACGAAGCGUGAGUGACGGUAAUGGGUAAAGAAGCACCGGCUAACUACGUG
RNAcentral lists this ribosomal RNA (468 nucleotides) under uncultured bacterium. RNAcentral describes it as "partial 16S ribosomal RNA". It matches the Rfam family "Bacterial small subunit ribosomal RNA", at positions 28 to 507 of the family's 1533-position model. The record is from RNAcentral.